UACGUAGGGGGCAAGCGUUGUCCGGAAUCAUUGGGCGUAAAGAGCGUGUAGGCGGCUCGAUAAGUCUGCUGUGAAAGUCCAGGGCUCAACCCUGGAAGGCCGGUGGAAACUGUCGGGCUAGAGUCCGGAAGAGGCGAGUGGAAUUCCCGGUGUAGCGGUGAAAUGCGCAGAUAUCAGGAAGAACACCAAUGGCGAAGGCAGCUCUCUGGGACGGUACUGACGCUGAGACGCGAAAGCGUGGGGAGCGAACAGG
RNAcentral lists this ribosomal RNA (253 nucleotides) under uncultured bacterium. Its description in RNAcentral is "partial 16S ribosomal RNA". It matches the Rfam family "Bacterial small subunit ribosomal RNA", at positions 524 to 776 of the family's 1533-position model. The record is from RNAcentral.